GAGGGUAUAGCUCAGUGGUAGGGUGCUUGCCUAGCAUGCAGGAAGUCCUGGGUUCAAUCCCCAGUACCUCCA
RNAcentral lists this transfer RNA (72 nucleotides) under Camelus bactrianus (Bactrian camel). It matches the Rfam family "tRNA". Rfam says of the family: Transfer RNA (tRNA) molecules are approximately 80 nucleotides in length. Their secondary structure includes four short double-helical elements and three loops (D, anti-codon, and T loops). Lineage: Eukaryota; Metazoa; Chordata; Mammalia; Artiodactyla; Camelidae. RNAcentral also lists the same sequence under 1 other name. The record is from Rfam by way of RNAcentral.